UUCACCCUUUAGCAUGUUUUAUUCUCUCCCUUAUAUCUUUUGUCACCGUGCCAGAAAAUUUUAAAUGUAUCCCUUCAAGUGGAGAUAAUCAAUGCAAAUCAGAGAACUGCUGUAUGCAUGGCAUGAGAGAAAGGAUUCAAUUCACUGCAAUUGCUGCCUGAUUUCACAAGGAAUUUUUCUCUAAGGGACUUAAAUUUCAUCUAAAUUACAAAGUCACUUGUAAAGAUCUCCAGAAAUGUAUAACUUAUCAUAUUGGCUUCUUGAUUGACCCCAGAUACUGCACUUCACCAAGAGACAGACAUGUUGGCUAUUCCAGGCCUAGAGAACAUUGAGACUGAAGGCAUCAGCUGGUGCACAAAACCACACGAUGCUUGGCUACUAAAGGCUCUGCACAAUUCCUGCUUUCUGUCUCACUCCAUCAGUACUUUGGCAAGAGACAUCUCAAUGCACUUCAUUCUAUUUUACCAUGCAGAAGAAAACUGCUGGAAUGUAGAUCAUAAUCCCUAUUUACUGGUGGUUUGGGAGGUAAUUGCCAACCUGCCUCACUUACCUGCGUGCUCGUGUGCAGAAGUAUUCCAUUGGUUUCCGUAAUUGUCGUUCCAAUUUUAGAAUGUUGUGUUAUAAUUUCUCUUCAUUCAUCAACUGCAUAGAACAUAUUAAUCAAGUAUUACUAUUCUUUUUAAUUUUAACCAUAAAGCAAAUCAGAGACUUUGAAAAGCAAAUACAAAGCUGGUUUUCCUUUAUAUUAAAACUUUUAAUGUAUGAUAAGUGUAUUCAAUGGAUUUGUGUGUUUCUUCCCAACAACAUGUUUGCAUGUACUAACACAAUUUGGCCCACAUUUUUCCCCUAUUCUCCCCUGCAAGUUUUCACCCAGCAGAGAAGCAUUUUCCUCUGGUAGGACUUUAUUGUGUCCCUCUGUACUGUUGUAGACAUGCUAUGUUUUAUGGACACCCAACUCCAACAUUCUACAGAAACAUUUAUUAGGUCAUACUGCAUGUCCGCAUUCUAACAGCAAGGGAUCAAAACAAAAUUAGUGCACUACAGAGAUUCGUUUCAGACUGCAAGAGCCAUGUAAAAAAAGGUAAAUGUUAUUAAAGUGUUCUAGCAUUAUACUUACAUAGAUACAUUAUUUUUUCAUUAAUGUUGCAUUUUUUUUAUGCUGUUUUCCUGAAAAUGCCAUUAGUCUGCUUACAUACACAUAAGCAAGAUAUUUAACCACUUUUAUAUAUCUAUUAUUGUCACAUUUACUAUAUUCUACAAAAAUGGUAUUCCAAUUACUGUGCUAAUAUUUCCAAUUCUUUCUGGAAUUAUUAUAAUUAUUAUUACAGAAUGCUUGGUUGUAUAGGGAGAGGUAUUUGCAGUAGAAAGAGAGAAGUUCUCAUGCCAUUGUACAGAACACUUGUGAGACCUUAC
Molecule: long non-coding RNA, 1413 nt
Organism: Pelobates fuscus (common spadefoot toad)
Lineage: Eukaryota; Metazoa; Chordata; Amphibia; Anura; Pelobatidae
Exons: 3
Source: RefSeq, a predicted model, not a curated record